RNAcentral lists this ribosomal RNA (928 nucleotides) under Fusarium solani. RNAcentral describes it as "LSU rRNA". It matches the Rfam family "Eukaryotic large subunit ribosomal RNA", at positions 24 to 978 of the family's 3401-position model. Lineage: Eukaryota; Fungi; Ascomycota; Sordariomycetes; Hypocreales; Nectriaceae. The record is from RNAcentral.
UUACCCCGCUGAACUAAGCAUAUCAAUAAGCGGAGGAAAAGAAACCAACAGGGAUUGCCCCAGUAACGGCGAGUGAAGCGGCAACAGCUCAAAUUUGAAAUCUGGCUCUCGGGCCCGAGUUGUAAUUUGUAGAGGAUGCUUUUGGUGAGGUGCCUUCCGAGUUCCCUGGAACGGGACGCCAUAGAGGGUGAGAGCCCCGUCUGGUUGGACACCGAACCUCUGUAAAGCUCCUUCGACGAGUCGAGUAGUUUGGGAAUGCUGCUCUAAAUGGGAGGUAUAUGUCUUCUAAAGCUAAAUACCGGCCAGAGACCGAUAGCGCACAAGUAGAGUGAUCGAAAGAUGAAAAGAACUUUGAAAAGAGAGUUAAACAGUACGUGAAAUUGUUGAAAGGGAAGCGCUUGUGACCAGACUUGGGCUUGGUUGAUCAUCCGGGGUUCUCCCCGGUGCACUCUUCCGGCCCAGGCCAGCAUCAGUUCGCCCUGGGGGACAAAGGCAUCGGGAACGUGGCUCUCUCCGGGGAGUGUUAUAGCCCGUUGCGUAAUACCCUGCGGCGGACUGAGGUUCGCGCAUUCGCAAGGAUGCUGGCGUAAUGGUCAUCAGUGACCCGUCUUGAAACACGGACCAAGGAGUCGUCUUCGUAUGCGAGUGUUCGGGUGUCAAACCCCUACGCGAAAUGAAAGUGAACGCAGGUGAGAGCUUCGGCGCAUCAUCGACCGAUCCUGAUGUUAUCGGAUGGAUUUGAGUAAGAGCAUACGGGGCCGGACCCGAAAGAAGGUGAACUAUGCCUGUGUAGGGUGAAGCCAGAGGAAACUCUGGUGGAGGCUCGCAGCGGUUCUGACGUGCAAAUCGAUCGUCAAACAUGGGCAUGGGGCGAAAGACUAAUCGAACCUUCUAGUAGCUGGUUUCCGCCGAUUUUCCCCCCCCCGGG